This 465-nucleotide ribosomal RNA is filed under the name Vreelandella stevensii. Its description in RNAcentral is "partial 16S ribosomal RNA". It matches the Rfam family "Bacterial small subunit ribosomal RNA", at positions 338 to 795 of the family's 1533-position model. Lineage: Bacteria; Pseudomonadati; Pseudomonadota; Gammaproteobacteria; Oceanospirillales; Halomonadaceae. The record is from RNAcentral.
CCUACGGGAGGCUGCAGUGGGGAAUAUUGGACAAUGGGGGCAACCCUGAUCCAGCCAUGCCGCGUGUGUGAAGAAGGCCCUCGGGUUGUAAAGCACUUUCAGUGAGGAAGAACGCCUGGUGGUGAAUACCCAUCAGGAAAGACAUCACUCACAGAAGAAGCACCGGCUAACUCCGUGCCAGCUGCCGCGGUAAUACGGAGGGUGCGAGCGUUAAUCGGAAUUACUGGGCGUAAAGCGCGCGUAGGUGGCUUGAUAAGCCGGUUGUGAAAGCCCCGGGCUCAACCUGGGAACGGCAUCCGGAACUGUCAAGCUAGAGUGCAGGAGAGGAAGGUAGAAUUCCCGGUGUAGCGGUGAAAUGCGUAGAGAUCGGGAGGAAUACCAGUGGCGAAGGCGGCCUUCUGGACUGACACUGACACUGAGGUGCGAAAGCGUGGGUAGCAAACAGGAUUAGAUACCCGUGUAGUC